RNAcentral lists this ribosomal RNA (497 nucleotides) under uncultured bacterium. RNAcentral describes it as "partial 16S ribosomal RNA". It matches the Rfam family "Bacterial small subunit ribosomal RNA", at positions 28 to 507 of the family's 1533-position model. The record is from RNAcentral.
GAUGAACGCUGGCGGCGUGCCUAAUACAUGCAAGUCGAGCGAACAGAUGAGGAGCUUGCUCCUCUGACGUUAGCGGCGGACGGGUGAGUAACACGUGGAUAACCUACCUAUAAGACUGGGAUAACUUCGGGAAACCGGAGCUAAUACCGGAUAAUAUAUUGAACCGCAUGGUUCAAUAGUGAAAGACGGUUUUGCUGUCACUUAUAGAUGGAUCCGCGCCGCAUUAGCUAGUUGGUAAGGUAACGGCUUACCAAGGCAACGAUGCGCAGCCGACCUGAGAGGGUGAUCGGCCACACUGGAACUGAGACACGGUCCAGACUCCUACGGGAGGCAGCAGUAGGGAAUCUUCCGCAAUGGGCGAAAGCUUGACGGAGCAACGCCGCGUGAGUGAUGAAGGUCUUCGGAUCGUAAAACUCUGUUAUUAGGGAAGAACAAAUGUGUAAGUAACUAUGCACGUCUUGACGGUACCUAAUCAGAAAGCCACGGCUAACUACGUG